Molecule: long non-coding RNA, 2502 nt
Organism: Gouania willdenowi (blunt-snouted clingfish)
Lineage: Eukaryota; Metazoa; Chordata; Actinopteri; Blenniiformes; Gobiesocidae
Source: Ensembl
UGUACUAUCUCUAACCUUCCUUUCAUCCUCUUUCAGAGUGCUCAGAGGAGAAUCCGUGUGAAGGACUUAGUCGUCAUGCAACCUUUGACAACUUUGGCAUGGCUUUCCUCACACUCUUCAGGGUGUCCACAGGAGACAACUGGAAUGGGAUUAUGAAGGACACGUUGCGUGAAUGCCGCCCACAGGACCGACACUGCCUCACAUACCUGCCUUUGAUCUCCCCCGUCUACUUCGUCACCUUCGUCCUCACGGCUCAGUUUGUACUGGUCAACGUUGUCGUGGCCGUGCUGAUGAAGCAUCUGGAAGAGAGCAACAAGGAGGCUCAGCUAGAAGAGAUGGAGGAGAGGAAGGAGCGGGAGGAGAAGAAGGAGCGGGAGGAGAGGGAGGAGGCGCGCCGACGCCUCAGCUCUGCGUCUGUAGGAGGAGACCUGGAGCCCAACGUAGACACACCUGCACAGGUGCAAGUUGAAGAUGUGGAGGGUUUCCGUGGCAACCUACUGAGCAUGGGACGCAUGGCGUCGCUUUCAGGUGACACGUAUGUGCAGCCUCUCAGAUGUUCCCCUCAUCCUCCAAUCGGCCACGAGGCGCUCUCUGCCUACAGCUACUCAGGCUCCAUGUCGUCCCUGGGCUCCAGCCUUGGUGGCUCUCUGCUGCAGGUUCCCGGGGCUCUUCCCUCCAUCAGUCAUGCGUCGUUGAGCUGUGGGCGACGCUCCAGCCCAGUGAUUUGCCUCAGCACGUCUCAGAACGUAGACAGACCCUCCCUGCAUCGCCUCAGUCCAGCUGAGAGCGUGGAUGGACACAGGCUGAGUCCAGCUCACAGGAUAAACAGACACAGACUGAGCUCUGCUCACAGUAUAGACGGAUACAAGUUCAGCCCAGCCCAUCACACCCACAGACACAGACUGAGCUCUGCCCACAGCAUCGAUGGAUACAGGCUCAGUGCAGAACACGCAGCAGACAGACCAAAACUCACGUCCAGCCACAGCAUCGACAGACAUUCGUCUCUCAGACUCAGUCCAACACACAGGAGACGACACUGGCUCAGUCCACAGGACAGUUUGGACAGAAACAAGCUGAGUCCCUCCUACGUCCCCGAGAGCUCCGCCCACAAGAGACCAGCAUCUUUCCGCUCUGCAGGCAGAACACUACGGAGACAGGAGGCCGUACGCGUCGACUCUCUGGAUCAGAUCGAUUCAGCUGAUGAUAUGGUGGAGUCUCGACUCACUGUACCUGCUGCCACUUCCACUCCACCACGGCAGCGAGCGUCCAGUGUGCACACGCUGAAGUCCAACCACUCCCAGAGAGUCAUCUCUGGUAGGAGCCGCAGUCACAGUGAGACGGCCACACAGGAACACUACCCCCAGCAGAGCGUCUCAGCUGCUGAGACCGUGUCCACUUUGCAGGUUCCUGUGGAUGAGUCCACAUCAAGCACCAGAUCGUGCAGCUCAGAGCUGGUCCAGCAGCAGGUCGACGCCGACCAGGAGGUCAGCCUUAUCACCAGCUCCGUCUGCUCACACAGCAGCAGACACCUGAGCCCUAGCCCUGGGGAGCGGAGUCGCCUCAGCCACUCGGCCUCCCCGGUUUCAGGAAAGAACAGGAAGCAGCGAGUGAGCCCGCCCCCGGAGCAGGAAGCAGUGCCCACGGCCCCUCAGCUUAUGGACAGCAGUGUGGAACUCAGGAGGCGAACUCUGUCUUUUGACGCCACAACCGUCUCUCCUAAUCAGCCAGAAGGAAGCUCAGUGGACGACUAAUGCAAACCUGAAGUUAACCCUAAAGCAGGAGAUGGACCAGUGUCCCACUUUGCCUCAUGGAUCUGCUCUAGAACAUGUCCCAGGGUGUGUGAGCAGAACUUAUGCAGACUUGACAGUAUGAGAACUUUGACCUUUUUAGUGCUUUUUGCACAUGAGAUGCACACAGGAAAAGACCACCUCUUCUUCUGUCUUACACCAUAGCUUUAGUUCAGACGUAGGAAGCACUCCCCAGCUAUAUGACCUUUAACACUAACCUCCACAGUGCUUGCUCCCAGUCCCAUCCAUGCAACUGAAGCCUAGGUCAGAAUACAAGACAAAAGUGGUCCUGAUAACACGGGAGACGUGACGGCACAGUCUAAAUCUGGAAUCUUACAUUAUGUGCAUCAAAGGACCAACACAAGUGUUAACAAUGGUUGUUAUUUGGUUCCAAACAGCAAAUAAUGGCUCUAAAUAAUAUAAGAGGAUGAACAACAAAGAGUAUUCAGAAAAAAACGAGGCUGUUUCAUCAGUGUUUAUCAUGUACAAACAAAUCCAAUUAAGAUGGUUUUAGCCAAAGAAGAAAAAAUCUCUUUUAUCCAUCAUUUCACUUUUACAAAAGAACAGCCUUUCUAACUUUGUGAAAAAAAACUGCUUGAUUUGUAAACGCACUGCUAUAUGAAUAGUUUUUAUUGGUAUUUGAGACAAAAUCUACACUUGUGUCCAUCCAUAGUUUCUAAAUAAAUAGAAGUUAAACCACUGCUGUAAAGUAGCU